This 490-nucleotide ribosomal RNA is filed under the name uncultured bacterium. Its description in RNAcentral is "partial 16S ribosomal RNA". It matches the Rfam family "Bacterial small subunit ribosomal RNA", at positions 29 to 507 of the family's 1533-position model. The record is from RNAcentral.
AGUGAACGCUGGCGGUAGGCCUAACACAUGCAAGUCGAACGGCAGCACAGGAGAGCUUGCUCUCUAGGUGGCGAGUGGCGGACGGGUGAGGAAUACAUCGGAAUCUGCCCAGUCGUGGGGGAUAACGUAGGGAAACUUACGCUAAUACCGCAUACGACCUUCGGGUGAAAGAGGGGGAUCGCAAGACCUCUCGCGAUUGGAUGAGCCGAUGUCGGAUUAGCUAGUUAGCGGGGUAAUGGCCCACCAAGGCGACGAUCCGUAGCUGGUCUGAGAGGAUGUUCAGCCACACUGGAACUGAGACACGGUCCAGACUCCUACGGGAGGCAGCAGUGGGGAAUAUUGGACAAUGGGCGCAAGCCUGAUCCAGCCAUACCGCGUGGGUGAAGAAGGCCUUCGGGUUGUAAAGCCCUUUUGUUGGGAAAGAAAUCUUUCAGGCUAAUACCCUGGGAGGAUGACGGUACCCAAAGAAUAAGCACCGGCUAACUUCGUG